UAGCAAAAUCUGGUAUUGCAAAAGACCUAAACUCUUUCUACAGAGGUUCAAAUCCUCUCAUUAACU
RNAcentral lists this transfer RNA (66 nucleotides) under Espadarana prosoblepon (emerald glass frog). RNAcentral describes it as "partial tRNA-Leu". It matches the Rfam family "tRNA". Rfam says of the family: Transfer RNA (tRNA) molecules are approximately 80 nucleotides in length. Their secondary structure includes four short double-helical elements and three loops (D, anti-codon, and T loops). The record is from RNAcentral. Lineage: Eukaryota; Metazoa; Chordata; Amphibia; Anura; Centrolenidae.